Molecule: long non-coding RNA, 1850 nt
Organism: Solea solea (common sole)
Lineage: Eukaryota; Metazoa; Chordata; Actinopteri; Pleuronectiformes; Soleidae
Exons: 3
Source: RefSeq, a predicted model, not a curated record
GCUGGUCUUGGGAAUAACGGAAGCGACGGAAGGAAGCUCGUUACCUGUUGCCUGUCUCAUCCUUUCUCUGUUGUUUUCAGUGCACAGGACGUGACGGUGAACUCUACUGCUGGACAUCUUUGCAGAAGAAGAGAGUGAGAAAUGUGUGGGCCUUUGACUCUUCCUGUACACUCUGCCCCUCCAGUGAAGUGGCAGCUCGCAGACUGCGAUGCUGCAGACUCUAUAACUGCUAUUGUGGCUCCUCAGGGCUCUUAUGUGCUGGAGAAUCAUAUGGGCCUAUAUUGUGUGCAAUUGCAGAGGCACUUUUAGCUGAUAACUCGCAGAUAGAAAGGUGUCUAUCUUUAUAAAUGGGAUACUCCAGCACUAACCAAGUUUGAGCAUGAGAACUGUCAUUACACAGUGUCAAGCAAAGUGUGUUUACAACCUUUAAAAUCAACAGUGACGACGGUACAUUAAGUCAUUUGAACAACUUAUAACCCUAACAUAUAGAAUUAGGACCAGAGAAAUGUGUUUAUGAGUUCAAAUGAAUUAUUGAAUGACACCUAACCCCCAUCUUCAGCUUGGGUAUAUAUGGUGGAAGGGUGGGGCAGAAUUUUGUUGUUUUUAUUUAUUUUGUUUUAUCUUUUUUUUCUUUGCAGAAACCUUAGGUUUUGCACUUAUUAAUGUGUAUAUUUAUAAUUACAUUGUUUUCUUUGUUGGUGAUCUGCUGAAUUUUAACUCCACCCUGUAUAAUUAUACUUAAAUACCAAUAAAAAUGAUAAGGGGGUGAAUUAUUGAUUGAAUAAAUCUAGACUAAAAAAGAAAAUGGCUAUCAAACUUAAAAGUUGGCGACACUGUGAUGUGCUAUCUUUAGUUUGAAUAAACUACAUUUAUUUUUGUGUUACCACUUUUUUAUUUAUUUUUUUUUUUUUAUUUGUUUUACUUUUUUCAGUCUUAAAUGAAACAAACCUCGUAAUAUUUGCCCUAAAAAAUGCCCACAAGGAAACAAAGUGACCCAUGUGAUUAGCCCUGUCACUUGACACAAGGUCCUAUGGCUACAUGCGAUUUCCUGUGUUUACAUGCGCCUUCCUCUGGGCACAGUGUGUGUAUGUGUGCACAGUGCGCAUGCCCCUGAUCUGCUGCGCAGUGUUGAAGUCUUGACCAAGUCAGCGUGUUAGUCAGAUCAACGUUGGUGGCAGAGUGUCAGCCGCAGGAGAAAGUGUUGUAGGAGCCUGGUGCGGAGGUGGGAGGGUACAAAGCGUCAGAGAGGAGAGAUGGUGGAGAUAGAAAAAUGGACAUAAUGUCUAAUGGCAGUUCCAGCUGAGAAAACAAAAAUACCAGAGGAACACUAAAAACCUGAGGGGUGAAAAAUAUGCGGGGCUGGCGAGAGGUCAGAUUCCCCACCGUAUCUAAUUCAAUUUUACAAACUGUAAGAAAACACUCUGCUGCUCCCCAAACACUGGGGAAAUGCGCAGCAAAUUUGUGGGUUUUACACUUUCUAAUCAAACAAAUAUCUUUUGCAAGUUAGUCAAAAUGGUGGGUGUAUAUUGACACGUAGCAAUUCAGGGUGGCUGAUAAGGAUUUUGUUAAAUGUUCAUGUCAUCAUUUUGGAUCCAAGGGAAAUAAAGUGGAUUAAGGAUCCUCCAAAAUCCAGUUUAAUUGUAUUAUUUUUGUUUUAUUUUAUAUUAUUUUUAAGAAAAACACAUUUAGACUGAAUGUGACGGUGGUUUGUGUGAAUAAUAUUAAUAAAAGCUCAAAUGUGGGUUUUUUUCCAGAAUCACUGGAGCACAGAUCAAUUUCAGGAGCAUUUUUUCUUUCUUAAAAAGGACAUACAUGACAAAUAUUUUCUCAGGUAAAUCUUGCUCUAUCCA